CCAGACUCCUACGGGAGGCAGCAGUGGGGAAUAUUGGGCAAUGGGCGCAAGCCUGACCCAGCAACGCCGCGUGAAGGAAGAAGGCUUUCGGGUUGUAAACUUCUUUUCUCAGGGACGAAGCAAGUGACGGUACCUGAGGAAUAAGCCACGGCUAACUACGUGCCAGCAGCCGCGGUAAUACGUAGGUGGCAAGCGUUAUCCGGAUUUACUGGGUGUAAAGGGCGUGUAGGCGGGGACGCAAGUCAGAUGUGAAAGCCACGGGCUCAACCUGUGGCCUGCAUUUGAAACUGUGUUUCUUGAGUACUGGAGAGGCAGACGGAACUCCUAGUGUAGCGGUGAAAUGCGUAGAUAUUAGGAGGAACACCAGUGGCGAAGGCGGCCUACUGGACGGUGACUGACGCUGAGGCUCGAAAGCGUGGGGAGCAAACAGGAUUAGAUACCCCCGUA
Molecule: ribosomal RNA, 447 nt
Filed under: uncultured bacterium
Lineage: Bacteria
Description: bacterial SSU rRNA
Rfam family: Bacterial small subunit ribosomal RNA
Source: RNAcentral